This 1324-nucleotide long non-coding RNA is filed under the name Equus caballus (horse). RNAcentral describes it as "lncRNA (ENSECAG00000043662.2)". The record is from RNAcentral. Lineage: Eukaryota; Metazoa; Chordata; Mammalia; Perissodactyla; Equidae.
GCUCCGCUGAGGAGCCAGACGUUCCAGCCCCAUCCUCUCCUGGUCCCCGGCCGCUUGGCGGCGGCACGCGCGUGCGGGGUGACACCGCGGCGGCCCAGGAGGCGCUGCUGAGCCCCGGUCCCCGAAGCCCCGGGGCGGCGCCCCUCCGCCCGGCCGCGCUCCAGGCCCAGAUGCCGGACGCCGCGCUCAGGACACAGACCCCACUCUGCAGCAGCCUGCCGCUGCCGGCAGCCAGGGCCUCCUUCCAACUCCAGCGCAAAUUUUUCGAACGUAAGAGAAGAAUACAGUCAUUAUCGGAGGUGGAGACAUUCAGAAGUUGUUCUUAAUCAGAGUGAAGCUUGUGCUUUGGAAAGUCAGCCUCACGCCUCAGCACGCACAGCAGCUGGUUCUCCAGGUUCCUCCUGGAUGAAGAAUUAGUUUCCAGCCCCCCUUUACCCUCUGACAAGUUGGAAGGAUACGUCAGCAUCUCUUAAAAGACUAGGAAGGUCAGAUUGGGGAGGGGUAUGAGCAAAUCCUCUCUACCAAUAUGAAUUUUUGUGAAAUUCACACAAAACGGGAGGAGGUCAACAAGCUGUGGGUCCUGAAGGUUUUUUGCAUAUCUGGGUAGGAGGUUUGACCUCAAGAGAUUUCUGCUGUACACUUUUGUAACUGGUUUGACAUAUUUCGGCUCCAACUUUGCAUCCUGAGAACACUUAAACGUUUCUGCAGGCUCAUUUUAUACAACCUGAAAGAGCUUAAAAGUUUCUGGUUGCCACAAGCAUAUCUUUCUUUUCUGCACAUCCAAGAGACAGCUGUGCCCUGCUGGGAUAGAUUUUCCAAACAAAAAUACCCGGAGCAGCAGUUUGGGAAAUAUGCCUUCAGCGGCGCUCCACAGAUGGGGUUUCCGGAAGCACAGUACUAGUAUUACUGUUUGCUUAUAAAUGGACGUAUUCACUGCACAAAGACAAAUGUUCUCAUGCUGAGCAGAAGAGAGAUCUGGUGUUGCCUGGUCCUGCCGGAGCCCUCCGGCCCAUCACCUCCUGCCAGCCUUCCAUGCGUACCUUGCCAUGAAAAGGGAAAGAAGCUGUUUCCAAAUUCGUGAUGAAUCUUACAAUCAAUGGUAGUGGCUACAUGAGGAUCUCCCAUCAACUUACAACCCAGAUGCUUGCCAUUUCUGGAGCAGGCUUGCUUUUGAAUUUUCUUCUCUACUCCUCUUCUCACAAGCUCAUCUGGGACAUCUGAAUCAUGAGGGGGAGCUCAUUGCCCCAGCUUCUCAACAGUUUACCACUGCCACCAUCAGAUCACACACGCACAAAAAUCCCAUUACUAAUUUACUCUCACAAAG